Molecule: unclassified non-coding RNA, 85 nt
Organism: Ursus americanus (American black bear)
Lineage: Eukaryota; Metazoa; Chordata; Mammalia; Carnivora; Ursidae
Source: Ensembl
CUUAUAUAACCUACACAUUAUGGGAGAGUCCCAUCAAAGAAGAUAGGUCAUUCUUCAAUAUCUGCUCUUUCCUUAUGGUCAAAAC